This 443-nucleotide ribosomal RNA is filed under the name Bacillus sp. 7/4. Its description in RNAcentral is "bacterial LSU rRNA". It matches the Rfam family "Bacterial large subunit ribosomal RNA", at positions 47 to 486 of the family's 2925-position model. Lineage: Bacteria; Bacillati; Bacillota; Bacilli; Caryophanales; Bacillaceae. The record is from RNAcentral.
CGAUGAAGGACGGGACGAACACCGAUAUGCUUCGGGGAGCUGUAAGCAAGCUUUGAUCCGGAGAUUUCCGAAUGGGGAAACCCACUGCUCGUAAUGGAGUAGUAUCCAUACUUGAAUACAUAGAGUAUGAGAAGGCAUACCCGGGGAACUGAAACAUCUAAGUACCCGGAGGAAGAGAAAGCAAAUGCGAUUCCCUGAGUAGCGGCGAGCGAAACGGGAACAGCCCAAACCAAGAGGCUUGCCUCUUGGGGUUGUARGACACUCUAUACGGAGUUACAAAGGAACGAUAUAAGCGAAGAGGUCUGGAAAGGCCCGCCAAAGAAGGUAACAGCCCUGUAACUGAAUGUUGUUCUCUCCAGAGUGGAUCCUGAGUACGGCGGAACACUGAAUUCCGUCGGAAYCCGGGAGGACCAUCUCCCARGGSKAAAUAUCCCUAAUGACCG